This 402-nucleotide transfer-messenger RNA is filed under the name human gut metagenome. It matches the Rfam family "transfer-messenger RNA". Rfam says of the family: Bacterial tmRNA, also known as 10Sa RNA or SsrA, is named for its dual tRNA and mRNA-like properties. Its role is to liberate the mRNA from a stalled ribosome. RNAcentral also lists the same sequence under 1 other name. The record is from RNAcentral.
GGGGAUGACUGGUUUUGACAGCGUGUAGAAGCGGCAAGUAAGCAUGCAGAGCUUUGAUGUGCAAGCUCUAUAAUCACAACGCAUCGACCUAUAAUUGGCGAAACUAACAACUACGCUCUCGCUGCGUGAUCUGAAGUACAGUAGGACACCUUUAUCCGCUCCACAGUGGUGCGGACGAGACAUCACCCCAUUGCCCUGUUCCGAGACGUUUGGAUAAGGUGGUGCUAAGAAAUUCGGAAAUAGGAAGCUGCCCGCCCCGUGCCGCUUCCGAGAUUUAGGGGAUAAGCUGCCGGUUGGUUGUCGUGAGCCUGCCGUCGGUCGAAAACCAAGUCAAUGACUAAGCAUGUAGAAAGCUUGUUGAUUCCGCGUUUGGACGAGGGUUCAAGUCCCUCCAUCUCCACA